Molecule: long non-coding RNA, 8860 nt
Organism: Dromaius novaehollandiae (emu)
Lineage: Eukaryota; Metazoa; Chordata; Aves; Casuariiformes; Dromaiidae
Exons: 2
Source: RefSeq, a predicted model, not a curated record
UUCCACCGGAACCUUUUUUUUUUUUUUUUCCAAACAGAAAAAACAGGUUUUUCUCUAAUGCCCUUUACGUCCUCCAGGGGUGCAUGCUGAAAUAAGAACUGACUUCUCCCAGGCUGUAGCAGUGUAGCAGAGAAAGGUGGUUAAAUUGGGAGGGGGGAGCUGGGGUGUUUCUUGGAGAAAGAAAAUGAUUUCAAAGAGACUGGAGUUUUGAUUAGGGAUGUGGAAGAAUAGCUACUAGAGAAGAGAUGAAAUUAGAAGAGGAAUUAACAUCGAGAAGGAAGGAGAGAGGCUCCAAAGACUGCAAAGCAUGAACUACAUGAGGGUAUUUCAUUUCUGAGCAAAGAAAUGCAGAAGCUAUGCAACGGUUUCCGGAUGCCACAGCCAGCACUCAGGUCACCUCUCCCCGAUCCUGAAGCCAUUUACCGAGGCUGUCAGCCCCCAGCUGCUGAAAUGGUCGGCACCUUUGCAGAGGGACAGCCAGGAGGUUUGGCCCUUACCAGGAGAACACGAUACCUGCUUAUUUCCAUCCCUGGCGCCCGACUGCAACGUCCACGCAGAAAUGACGUUAAACCCCUUGACCACGGUGCAGGCAGGGAACAGGGAAGCCAAGUACUCGGCGUUGGAUUCUUUGUGGUGGUUGAUUUCAGUGUUGUUGCUGACAUCCACCAGUAUCUUGCCAGCCAGCACAUCAGCCAGGUCGCAGAGCGUGGAGUAAUGUUCCCUGAAAACUGCCACAAAAAUGACAUCUGUCUUCUUCACCGCAUCAGCUUGGAAGGUGACUUCUGCCGCAGAGGGGAAGAGGCCGGCUUUGCGCUUUGGGUUGCGGCUCCCGACCACCACCUUGAACCCGGAGCAGACGAGGCGGAUGGCCAACGACCGUGCGAAAUCCCCGCUCCCCAGCACCCCGAUGGUGCGGCCUGCCGCAGGCGUGACGCUGUGGUCCCCCUCCACGCUGCGAUGGCCCAGGAGGGGUUUGGCCAUGUCUCCUCCUGACAUCCUGGCAGGAAAAAAAAUAGGAAAUGCAAGUUUAUUCUGAAGCUCUUGCAGAGCUCCUGACUACAACCGUGGUCACGGAGAAAACGCUACUUAUGCCACCCAACUAGAAGUGCACUUGGCCUUGGGUGAGGAGGGAAUCCCCUGGAGCCUGCAAACAGAUGUAGCCUAAGACCCAUCUGCUAAACCCGUCAGGCAGAUGUGCAGUAAUGUACAACCACCAUUGGAGGGGGACACCACCACGCUGAGUCGGAGGCGAAGGGAUUCAGGAACAGGUUUCCCCAGUCAGCCUGUGUGGGAUCAAAAACCUACGGCUACGCUCAUCUGUCCUUUGAUGUUCUCCAUACUUGCACCUCACACUGCAAAGCCAGGGCGAUCCUAGCAGCUAUUAGGAAAGGCAACUCUCAGAGCCCCCCAGAGCCGCCAGUUAUCUUCUGAAAAGCCCAGGGCCAUGAGUUCAAGGAGAUCUCUCAGCCCACAUUUGGGAGAGCCACAGGGAUGGUUUUUAUUCACAGGAGCAGAGUCAAGGCAGGGAGUUUUAGGUGAAAUGAAAGUGUUCUCAAAGUGGUAAAUGAAGAGAGUUGCAGCCUUUGCCUGCUCCAGUACGUAGGUCUGGCAAGCACUGUUUACUUCAGCUCUUCAACGGGUAAUGAGAAUUUACUCGUGACAUUUAAAAAUAUAUUAAAACAUGAUGGGAUUUGCUCAUGAAAGAUCUUGAUGAGCUUUACAAACAUUAAUGAAUUUUGCCCUGUAACACUCGCUCUCCUAACAGAUCAGAUAUUGAGGCCAAGAAGAGGUUUUAAGCAAAUCAAUAAAUUGAACGGUGGCACAUCAGCAGACCCCCAAGGUCAAAAGGAACUCAAUCAGGGAACUGUCAAGCUAUUCAUGUGGUUUGCCACCUAUCACUCAAAUCAGCCUUGGGGCUUAAAGAAUGGAAGAUGUCAACAGUGACACCAGAUUUUUAAAGGACUCAGGAGGUGGUCCAGGGAACUUACCCACCAGAACAUCUGGCUUUUGAUUCAGGCACAUUGGUAGAAAUAGUAAUAUAGACCAGAAUUACCAGACUCAUGAUAUACCUGGGCAAGAGACAACUUGGUGUCAGCAGAGUACAAUCUUGCCUUAUAGCUAUAUUGAGUUCUUUAAAAGCGAAGAUGACCACUCAGGCGAGGUGACCCAGCAACUGAGGUAGGCUUGGCUUCUCAUAGGCUUUUGGAAAUGUCCUCCACCCAAGGCUUUUAUGGAAUUGAAACAAUAAUGGUGCAAAGAGGAAGGGCACUUCUGCAUGAAUAGUUACCAAUGGGAAACAAAGGGUAAGAAUAAAUAGGUAACAUUCAUAAUGGGAACGAGAUAUCAAGGGAUUUCCCCAAGGGUCUGUGUUGUUCAGCAUAGUCAUAAGUGAUCUGAGAAAGGGAGUGAAUACCGAUAAGAUUGAGUUUGUGGGUGAUAAUUGUCCACAAUGGUCUUUAUUGUGAAGAAUUUGCAGAAGGGUCUCCUCAUUCAAAGUGUCCAAGCACCAAAAUUCACUGUUGACAUGCAAAGUGAUGCAUAUGGGCAGAAAAAAACCUCUGGCUACAUGUACUAUACAUACACUUUAAUGGGCUGUAAAUUUGUUUAAAUCACUCAGAAAAGGGAUCUGAGAGUCACAGUUCUCUGAAAACACCAGCUCAGUGCUCAGCGACAGAAAGGAAGCAAAUAGAUCAUGAGUUAUCAGAAGGAGAAUAUUUCUUACAAAAAAACAGCCACUACCAACUCUGAUCUUUCAGUGCUGAUCCUCAUGGAAAGCCUGCAAAACACCUUCAGAAGACGGACCCGGGAACUAUAAAUCACUGUUCUCCUGGAUACUAGAAGUUAUGGGUUCAGUGACAAUACUGUUUUUACGGCACAGGUCUAUCUUCUUCUUGCCUCACACCUAGCACCUCCCUGUCCCCAAGAUACGUGUACAUGGAAGAAGUACUCUCAGAAAAGAAAACAAGUGUUAAAGAAAGGGAGGCUGGCUUUUCUCCUUUAAUAACUUUCCUCCUGCUCCCCAGAUAGCAGGUAGACUUCCUCUCAUGGUUCACAUGAGUAAGAGAGUUGUGGUAAACUCAGAAUAACUCGCGUUUCACUCUGCAGGUUUCUGCUUCUCCUCCAGAGCUGCAGCAGGGUUUGUGUGCCUAAAAGCUUUUUUGUUUACGGAGACUGUGCCAGUCGGUCUAAUAAAGGCUAUUCCCUACGCACCCCCACCUGCCUUAGCACAUUCCACGGGUAUCAGUCACCCAGGAAUCACUGGGAAAGGCACACGGGACAACAGAGAAAACGUUAUUAUGCCAUGGUAUAAAUGCGUGCAUUGAACAUCACACUGAGUUCUGCUCACCCCGCUGCAGAAAGGGAGAAUAAAACUCGAAAAGGGUUAUAGGGAAGGAGUGAGAAAGAAGACAAGGACUGUUCAGCUUGAAGAAGAAACAGUUAGGAGAGGAAGGAGAGGAGUUUGCCUGGGAUUUCUCUAACUGAAGAGCAACCUCUCACGUGGACCUCAACCGACACCAACCUUGUGCCUGAUCCGGGAACGCCGGGGAGCAACACGGCAGGACCAGCCUCCUCCACCACCGCACGUGCCACACAGCCCCUUCCAUAAACUAAGCCAGCUCCAUCGGAAAAGACGUUGGUGGUUUUUAUUCUGUCCCUUCUUAUAGGACACUUUAUCAAAGCUCACUGCUUUGCUUUAUGGAAACUUUCUUGCUCCACCUGAAUUUAUUCCUGGCCAACUUACACCCAGUUGUUCUAAGGUCAACACUAUUGUUUAGCUUAACUAGCUUUCGUUCCUACACCAUCCCCUCAACGACACGUCUGCACAAAAUGUUUUUCUGAAAUAGAGAGACGCAUCUCUGGCUCUUAGCCAAGGGGAGGAGAGAAAUCAACAUUCAGGGUGACCAAGCAGUUGCUACCUAGAGACUCAUUUCAUGAUCAAUCUGAAGCACCUCAAAAGCUCUCUCUGUGUUCCCAAAGGGACGGCAAGUUCUGCUGCAAGCAAAUUGGCUGUAGCGUGUUUUUUCGGUCCUGUAACUGCCACUUAAAAUGUGCAGAGAUGUUUGCAGUGUUUGGAGAUAAAUGGCUUCGCUGUCUCCAGUUAUUUUGAUUAAAAAGAAAAGGAUGACAGAAUUAAAUGGCCCUUGAAGUCACCAGAAUAGUUAAAAAGUAAAAAUCCUCAAAAUGUUUUCUAAAGGUAGGUGUGGAUUUCAGGGCUGCUAUUUUAGUUGUACUUAGGCUGGAAGGACUUUGGGGCCGGGCCCCAGUGCACAGCACUUGGGUCAGCAGCAGUUUGAUCCCUACCGCAGUUUCCUAGAGUUGCGGCAAGUCACGCUCACCUCACUGUCCAAGCGUUCAAACUGGAGGAGUAAAACUGAACUCAUGUUUACGAGCCUUUAUUAUACUUAACAUGGCAAUACUGCUUUUUCUACACAUAUGAACAAUGCGUUACCUGCUUAAAACUCUCCCUCCCAAAGCUAAUUCUUUGCAGCAAGGUCAGCCCCAUGAAAAGUCAACAUACAGCAUCUUGGCCAGGUUGUUUGGAGUCAACCAGAGGCAGUGGAGGCCAAGAAUGCAAUGAGUAUGGCAGAGGACAGACACGUCUUUAGGCUGCUGCAGCUCUGUAGCUCAUUUAUUGAUCUCCCCUAUCAAAGAAAUCAUGCCUUUGCUGAGUUAUGGCAUGUGAAAUUCAAGGAGAUCAGGGUCUAACCAAGGAAACUACAAGACGAUUUAAAACACAGGCCAGUGGAAGUAAGCUAGCUUCAAUCCAAACCAGGAAGCAGUUCUGUAAUUAAAAUAUCUAAUACAAUGUAAAGCUUCCCCUCAGCUGGACUAUUAAUGAUACCUGUACAUCAGUGCAUGGGGAUGCCAGGUCCGGACCUAGCGUGUUUGUCACCGCGUGCAGUUCACCUAUUGCAUUUCAGUUGCUGCUAUCAUUCGCAGUACCAAAGCAGCGCUGGGCCGUGAGCGCGACGGGGAGCUCCCUUCCGCCAGGCACUGCCCCAAAGCGCGACAGAAAGCCGCUCCUGCCCCAAGGAACGGGAUCAGGCAGACAAAAACUGGAUGAAAGCAAGCAGCCCAAUCUCUGUCACCCAGGCAGAGGGAAGGCUGGGCACUCACGGAAGCAAAGCACGGAUAACUCUAGCUCUUCUGCACCGGAGGCUUGGCAGACGCUGUCAGCGUGGGCUCCGUGCCAGGCGACACGGUCGUUCUGCCUCCGCGCCCCGGCCGAGCUGCCUGGCUGAGGUUUCGCAGCCUUCCCGUGCGGCGCGAGCCAGCGCGGGUGUCUGCGCGCUCAGUCCGCAAAGCAGAUAGUCCCCCGGCUGCGGGGAAGCUGGCUGAGCCGCACCGCUUCCGGCGGGCACGGGGCCGGGGGUACCGACGGUAACGGGACUGCAGCACGUCUGCCUGCGCACACCCACAAACCCUCGGCCACCUCUUUAACAUCAAGACCCUCCUUUCAGGACCCUUUCACUUACUCUGGGGAUGGUUCCUGUAACUGCAGUUCUGGGGAGGUACCUGUGGCGGCAAGAAAUGGGAUUCACUUCAGUUUGGACAAAAAAAAUCAAGAGCUGUUUCACUGCCUUGAUACGAGGCCUUAUCACACAGAAGACAACUCAGUUGUACGAUAACCCUCUCUAACAUCGCUGAGCCAAAGCGUGCCACAGCAAACGGCGGCAACCUGCUAAGGGGCUCCAAGCUACGGUAUUUAGGGUGCAACGAAAGCGGUUCCCACCUGAACCAAAGCCCAUCUUUGCGCUCAGCCUCACGCAGCGAGCAUGAGCCAGCAGCACCCCGGCUAAACCACGGCUUUGGUCUCGUCCACUGCUUUAUCUACAUCCCCUAAUGAGCAGCUGGGCUGAAAAACCAAGAGCAGCGGGAGGAGCCAAAGGAUGGAGGAGAGCCCUCGGACGGGUCACCGCAGAGGACCUUCCCGCUCUCCGCACUGAGAUGAUCCCCGUCACCUCCGCGGGGCCACGGGCAUGGGACGCCGUGGCUGGUGCCCGCCCCCACGCAACGGGGUCCUGCACGCACCGUGGACGGGGCGAUCUCCGCCCCAGGGUGAUUUUCAGUUUGCCCGGACGGACCUUUGUACCUCCCGCGCUGACUGCGGAGCCAAAGCCCCACGAUUUCUGUUUGCAGAGCCUUGUUUUUCGUGCCGUGCCCUCCGGCAGCUCACGCACGAAGCCGCCCCAGCUCAAAAGCAGCCUUCGGCACCCAGUGUUGCCACCCGGGUUCUGCCGUUUUACCUCGUGGGCAGAAAUACUCCCUUUUCAGCUACAGUCGUUUUGCUCCCAGUGAAAACACGGAAUUUAAGUCUCUCCCAACCCCACCAGAGUCCCUCCAAAGAGCACAGCCAGCACCGUGUACCUGCUGAGACUGGAACAGAUUUAGAUUAAAAAAAGGGCUUAUCCGAAGCUGGUUUAACGCCAGCUCCGCUACACGUUUCAGGAAUCCUUUCGGUCCUGCCCAGGGUGACUGGAAAUCACGCCGCUGAUCUGCGGCAGCUCUCGGAAAGGGGAACGAGCCGGGGAAAACCAGGCUUGCAAGCUCCUGCCCUCCUCCUCCUCCCGAAGCAGGCUGGGAUAACCCCAGCAGCGCAAACCAGGAACCGGCAAAGGGAAUAAAUCAACUGCCUCUGUUCCUUCGGCCAGGAAAGCGAUGUUGAAAACCUACCGGGACGCCAGCCAGGCCGGCGGAGGGAGGCAACGCCAGGAGGGAGGUCACCCGCGCCGCCUUCCCGCGGCCCGUCGCGUACGCGUCUCAGGCGGCCCCUAACCACACGCGGCUCGAUCCCUCCCCACGCCGGGAAGGCAGCGCUGGCUGGGGCACAGGGAGGCUUUGUAUGAGCAAAACCCAGUUUUUUCCUCGGGGCUCUUAUUUCCUGAGCGUCUGACUCCUCCGCCUCUCCACCUAGCCCAUGUUUUUCCUGGAGGAUGAGCAGAACCGAAUUUUCCAAUCCCGGCCCUCGUAAGCACCAACCGCUCCUCCAGCUUGUGUUUAUACACCCCAGCAUGCUGUUUGCCUUUGCACAACCGCGUGACACUGUGGGCCCACGGUCACCGUGUGAUCCCCAUAACCCCGCGUCGUCUCCGGCAAAACCACUGCCUUGGCCGUCCAUCCCUCACCCGUGCAGCCCCGCGGGACGGCACUCACGCGUGCCCGGUUUUUUAGACCGUCUCUCCGAUUUGCCACAAUUGUUAAGUCUUCUUCUCACCUCUAAAAUGGUUCCAGCUCCGUUUCACCUACAAAUUUAGUCGCUGCCUCCCUCUUUCAUCAUCUAUUGCUGCAAACGCGGACCGAGCAGGCGCUGACCCUCCCCUCUCGGGACUCCCUCCAGUUUAAACACUGAUAACUGCUGAGGAUGUUUUCUGAAGCUAGCGGUGAAGCCAAAGGCAUGUCCCUGACCACAGGACAUUCUCCACCACCACCAAAAUCCGAGAACAUGUUUUGAAACAGGGGGAGAGCGGAGGAGAGGAGGUUACCAGAACCUUCCACAGCCUGUUUUUCCCACACUUUCUCAGACAUUUUGGCUACAGCUUUCCUACAGAAAUACCUCAGCGCGUAGGCACCCGGCAUGGACAACUUCCCCUCCCAAGGUUAAACAGACAACAUUAAUGCUGAGCAGAAAAAUCACCCACCUGCAACACGGGCCGUGACUUAACCGAACUGGAAAACAAACUUUUGGCCUAAGGGUUUUCACCAAAACCAUGUACCUUUAAGCGCGAUUGCCAACAGGUUCUGCCACAGGGAUCCUCCAGCUCGGCUCUCCCAGGUCUCCAAAGGCCAGUUGCACCCUGGCCGCGCGACCAGGCUCGGGAAAGGCGAAAGCCUCCCCUGCUAGCAGCACUUCCCGGCCUCCACGGCGAAGGAAACCUUUGAAGAGCUUCACCUGCUGUUGUGUGAAAACAGCAUCACCGGCCGCGGGGUUUGCUGACGGUGCUUCUUGGGUUGAUACAACAACGAAAGGCCUGAAAAGGCUCUGCCUGGUCAUCAGACGUUAUAACGUGGGAAAAUCUGGGAAGCAAAUGCCUGGUGUUUUCACUGUAAGACCGCAGAGAGAGCAGACCGAAACAAGGCAGGAUUUUGGCGCAGCAGCGUUUAUGCAGACAAACAGCACAUGUAACUCCAUCUGCCUGAUGCUACCCGGGAUAACAAGGUUAUUUUCCCAGCUUAUCAUCUCACAGUUCUUAAGAGACGCAGACGGAGAGCUUAAAACAACUUUAGGUGCUGAAACCAAAGUCCCGCAUGGCUUUCGGUUUCUGUUGUGGUCUUAAUUCGCCUGCUGCUCUCACCACCUUAACGACUAUCUAAGAGUGACUCACCCAUUUUUCAGCUUUUCCCCCACUGGAAAUGCAGAAAGAGCAGGUGGGCAGCCAAAAGCUGGGCUGCUACAACCUUUUUGGGUGGAUCUAAUAAUACCCUGCAGCUAGACACGAUCGCAGGGGGUACUUUCCUUCCUGAAACAAGCAGGAGAAAAUCUCUUCUGCUUUUCUACAGGCAGAUGGUGUUGGGCCUCGGGCGACUGGCAGCCCGCGGUCGGUUAGGAGCUUGAGGGACUUUGGAGACAGUGAAACUGGACUCGAGCAGUCACUGCCGGGCUCUGACACACAACGGCUGCUGAAAGGCUGCUUCUUUCCAGGAAAGACGCGGAGGACUUGCACUGCGUGCACACGGCGAUAUUUGGAUUGGCCAUUCCCACGCAUGCAGCGCUUGUUUGAAGGCUCUCCAAGACCAGCAGGCCCUCGCAUUUUAGGUUUUGCCUCUCACGGGGACUCCAGAGCUUGUGCAGGACCACACGGGGGGAGAAGAUGGCCCAAGAGGCCAGUGGGGGCUGAGGGAAGAUAAAACCUACCGCUGA